Small nucleolar RNA from Capsicum annuum, 107 nucleotides. Lineage: Eukaryota; Viridiplantae; Streptophyta; Magnoliopsida; Solanales; Solanaceae. The record is from RefSeq and is a predicted model, not a curated record.
UAAUGAUGGUGAGGGAAAUUUCUGAGCAUACUUUUAAAUCUCUCACAAGUGUGGUAAAGAUUCUCUCCUUCCUUCUGUCUGAAACUCAGAAUCUCACUUCUCAAAUG